Molecule: ribosomal RNA, 345 nt
Filed under: Triticum aestivum (bread wheat)
Lineage: Eukaryota; Viridiplantae; Streptophyta; Magnoliopsida; Poales; Poaceae
Description: partial small subunit ribosomal RNA
Source: RNAcentral
AUGGGUCGACGACGGCGACUCGAGGGAGGGGGCAGUCUACUCGAGUCAUCCCGCACUCUUUCUCUGCUCGAGUUAACCCGGAUGGAUGGAAUUUCGUUGCAGUCUUCAUAUGCCACCAACACUUUUCACUGGCAGAGAUUUCAGGUCCUGAAGUCAUUGUUGAAGACAUGGAUUGAACCGGCUUACGAAGCACGGAGAGAAGAAUUUCUUUCCAUUUUGCUAUGCAUAACAAUGCGCGCGCGCGAUUCCACGGAAACUUCCGACUUUAUUCAGGUGGAUAAAACCUCGACAUGUGGAGAGCAUGCGCGCGCGAGAUUCCACAGAAACUUCCGACUUUCUUCUUAG